Molecule: non-coding RNA, 191 nt
Filed under: Nitrospira sp. ND1
Lineage: Bacteria; Pseudomonadati; Nitrospirota; Nitrospiria; Nitrospirales; Nitrospiraceae
Source: RNAcentral
AGCAGUAACUUUUUCAAUCCAAUGCAUCGAUAGCCCAUGUACCCCAAGGGAAGCGCGGUAGAAGCCGCCACUGGUCCGCAACUGUGAUCGGGGACGAAAUCUGCACUCAGCCACUGUCCACAAGGAUGGGAAGGCGCAGAGAGUAGGACGAGCCGAGAGUCAGGAGACCUGGGUAUAUGGAGACUCCAGAA